Molecule: ribosomal RNA, 253 nt
Filed under: uncultured bacterium
Lineage: Bacteria
Description: partial 16S ribosomal RNA
Rfam family: Bacterial small subunit ribosomal RNA
Source: RNAcentral
UACGAGUUGUGCAAACGUUAUUCGGAAUCACUGGGCUUAAAGGGUGCGUAGGCGGACGCGCAGGUCAGGUGUGAAAUCCCACGGCUCAACCGUGGAAUUGCGCUUGAAACCGCGUGUCUUGAGGGGGUCAGAGGAGAGCGGAACUGAUGGUGGAGCGGUGAAAUGCGUUGAUAUUAUCAGGAACACCGGUGGCGAAAGCGGCUCUCUGGGACCUUACUGACGCUGAGGCACGAAAGCCAGGGGAGCGAACGGG